AGCCACACUCAAAUCAACAUCAUGGCAGAAGGAGAAAAAUGUGGAUUCCAGACCUAUUGGGUCGGCUUCUGCGAUUUGCUGGCCAUACAGUGUUUUAGUCUCUAGCUUGUGUCUCAAGAUGCAAAUGUGAAAACAACAAGAAGAACCCCAUACAGUUGUCCACUUACUAUGGCUGGGCUCUGAAAAGUGAAAACUUCCUCCACUGUCUUCAUUUUCAAAAGAAGCUUUGAAUUGUUUGUGUAAACAAGCCUCCAUCACUAGUGCCUGGGUUGAACAAUUACACCAGAUAGCAUGGCCUGCAAAGAUCUCUCACCCUUAUGAAGAAGAAGAGUUUGUGAAGGAUGUAAUGGGCCACAUAAACGAAAGGUACCUGUAUUUGAAAAAGAAAAUGGAUGUCUUAGACUUUUCGUUGUUCCUCAUGCAUGGGCAAAAUUUGCAGAAAAUUUCACUGCAUGUAGAAAAAAGAAUAUUUCUAUAGAAUGAUACAG
Choloepus didactylus (southern two-toed sloth) is the source of this 488-nucleotide long non-coding RNA. RefSeq lists it as uncharacterized. The transcript is spliced from 4 exons. NCBI's taxonomy places the organism in Eukaryota, Metazoa, Chordata, Mammalia, Pilosa, Megalonychidae. The record is from RefSeq and is a predicted model, not a curated record.